This 517-nucleotide ribosomal RNA is filed under the name uncultured bacterium. Its description in RNAcentral is "bacterial SSU rRNA". It matches the Rfam family "Bacterial small subunit ribosomal RNA", at positions 8 to 514 of the family's 1533-position model. The record is from RNAcentral.
AGAGUUUGAUCAUGGCUCAGAACGAACGCUGGCGGCGUGCUUAACACAUGCAAGUCGAACGGAAUUAGGGGCUUGCUCCUAAUUUAGUGGCGCACGGGUGAGUAACACGUAGGUAACCUGCCCUUCACUGGGGAAUAACCCGUCGAAAGACGGGCUAAUUCCGCAUACGUCCAAGACUGCUCCGGCAGAUUUGGGGAAAGGCGGCCCGCAAGGGCUGUCGGUGAUGGAUGGGCCUGCGUACCAUUAGUUAGUUGGUGAGGUAACGGCUCACCAAGACAUCGAUAGGUAGGGGUCCUGAGAGGGAGAUCCCCCACACUGGUACUGAGACACGGACCAGACUCCUACGGGAGGCAGCAGUGAGGAAUAUUGGACAAUGGGCGCAAGCCUGAUCCAGCCAUGCCGCGUGCAGGAAGACGGCCCUAUGGGUUGUAAACUGCUUUUAUACAGGAAGAACACUCCCUCGUGAGGGAACUUGACGGUACUGAUGAAUAAGCACCGGCUAACUCCGUGCCAGCAG